AGUGAACGCUGGCGGUAGGCCUAACACAUGCAAGUCGAACGGCAGCACAGUAAGAGCUUGCUCUUACGGGUGGCGAGUGGCGGACGGGUGAGGAAUACAUCGGAAUCUACUUUUUUGUGGGGGAUAACGUAGGGAAACUUACGCUAAUACCGCAUACGACCUACGGGUGAAAGCAGGGGAUCUUCGGACCUUGCGCGAUUGAAUGAGCCGAUGUCGGAUUAGCUAGUUGGCGGGGUAAAGGCCCACCAAGGCGACGAUCCGUAGCUGGUCUGAGAGGAUGAUCAGCCACACUGGAACUGAGACACGGUCCAGACUCCUACGGGAGGCAGCAGUGGGGAAUCUUCGACAAUGGGCGCAAGCCUGAUGCAGCAAUGCCGCGUGAGUGAAGAAGGCCUUCGGGUCGUAAAGCUCUGUUGUUGGGAAAGAAAAGCUGCGGGUUUAUACGCCGAUAUCUUGACGGUACCUAAAGAGUAAGCACCGGCUAACUUCGUG
Molecule: ribosomal RNA, 492 nt
Filed under: uncultured bacterium
Lineage: Bacteria
Description: partial 16S ribosomal RNA
Rfam family: Bacterial small subunit ribosomal RNA
Source: RNAcentral